RNAcentral lists this ribosomal RNA (428 nucleotides) under Laminacauda sp. n. CH. Its description in RNAcentral is "partial large subunit ribosomal RNA". The record is from RNAcentral. Lineage: Eukaryota; Metazoa; Arthropoda; Arachnida; Araneae; Linyphiidae.
AUAAUUAUAAGUAAAAUCUGCUCCAUGAUAAGUAAAUAGCCGCAGAAAUUUAACUGUGCUAAGGUAGCAUAAUCAUUUACCUUUUAAUUAAAGGUCUGUAUGAAUGAUUUUACAAUUAAUUUAUUUUUUUAUUAAACUUUAUUAAACUUAAAUUAAAAAUAAAAAUGUUUUUAUAAAAAAAAAAGACGAUAAGACCCUACUGAACUUAACUCAUGUUAAGCUGGGGAAGCUAAUUAAAUACAAUUUUAAUUCUAAAAACUAAAAUAAUUUCUAACAUAAUUAAAUUUAAAGUUACCAUAGGGAUAACAGCGUAAUAUAAUUUUAAAGUUCAUAUUAAAAAUUAAGCUUACGACCUCGAUGUUGAAUUAGAAUUUCUAAUAAACGCAAGCGUUUAUAAAGUAGGUCUGUUCGACCUUUAAUAUUCUACA